This 383-nucleotide ribosomal RNA is filed under the name uncultured eukaryote. Its description in RNAcentral is "partial 18S ribosomal RNA". It matches the Rfam family "Eukaryotic small subunit ribosomal RNA", at positions 592 to 976 of the family's 1831-position model. The record is from RNAcentral.
CAAUAGCGUAUAUUAAAGUUGUUGCAGUUAAAAAGCUCGUAGUUGGAUUUCUGGUAGGAGUGACCGUUCCGAACUUGAUUGUUCGUGUAUUGUGUUUUCUCCAGCCAUCCUUGUGGAGAACUUUUCUUGCAUUAAUUUGUAGGGAUUGGGACCCGCAUCGUUUACUGUGAAAAAAUUAGAGUGUUUAAAGCAGGCAAUCGCUUGAAUACAUUAGCAUGGAAUAAUAAGAUAGGACUUUGGUACUAUUUUGUUGGUUUGCAUACCAAAUUAAUGAUCAACAGGAACAGUUUGAGGAUAUUCGUAUGAACAUGUCAGAGAUGAAAUUCUUGGAUUUUGAUCAGACGAACUACUGCGAAAGCAUUUAUCAAGGAUGUUUUCAUUAA